This 274-nucleotide ribosomal RNA is filed under the name uncultured bacterium. RNAcentral's name for it is "partial 16S ribosomal RNA". It matches the Rfam family "Bacterial small subunit ribosomal RNA", at positions 523 to 796 of the family's 1533-position model. The record is from RNAcentral.
AGACGUAGGGGGCGAGCGUUGCUCGGAUUCACUGGGCUUAAAGCGCGCGUAGGCGGUUUGCUCAGUCGGAUGUGAAAGCCCAGGGCUCAACCUUGGAACUGCAUACGAUACUGGCAAACUAGAGUGUGAGAGAGGAUAGUGGAAUUUCCGGUGUAGCGGUGAAAUGCGUAGAUAUCGGAAGGAACAUCAGUGGCGAAGGCGACUGUCUGGCUCAACACUGACGCUGAGGUGCGAAAGCGUGGGUAGCAAACAGGAUUAGAAACCCCAGUAGUCC